GAUGAACGCUGGCGGCGUGCCUAAUACAUGCAAGUCGAGCGAACGGACGAGAAGCUUGCUUCCCUGCUGUUAGCGGCGGACGGGUGAGUAAGACGUGGAUAACCUACCUAUAAGACUGGGAUAACUUCGGGAAACCGUAGCUAAUACCGGAUAAUAUUUUGUACCGCAUGGUUCAAAAGUGAAAGACGGUCUUGCUGUCACUUAUAGAUGGAUCCGCGCUGCAUUAGCUAGUUGGUAAGGUAACGGCUUACCAAGGCAACGAUGCAUAGCCGACCUGAGAGGGUGAUCGGCCACACUGGAACUGAGACACGGUCCAGACUCCUACGGGAGGCAGCAGUAGGGAAUCUUCCGCAAUGGGCGAAAGCCUGACGGAGCAACGCCGCGUGAGUGAUGAAGGUCUUCGGAUCGUAAAACUCUGUUAUUAGGGAAGAACAUAUGUGUAAGUAACUGUGCACAUCUUGACGGUACCUAAUCAGAAAGCCACGGCUAACUACGUG
This 497-nucleotide ribosomal RNA is filed under the name uncultured bacterium. Its description in RNAcentral is "partial 16S ribosomal RNA". It matches the Rfam family "Bacterial small subunit ribosomal RNA", at positions 28 to 507 of the family's 1533-position model. The record is from RNAcentral.